This 460-nucleotide ribosomal RNA is filed under the name uncultured bacterium. Its description in RNAcentral is "partial 16S ribosomal RNA". It matches the Rfam family "Bacterial small subunit ribosomal RNA", at positions 338 to 795 of the family's 1533-position model. The record is from RNAcentral.
CCUACGGGUGGCAGCAGUGAGGAAUAUUGGUCAAUGGGCGAGAGCCUGAACCAGCCAAGUCGCGUGAAGGAUGACGGCCCUACGGGUUGUAAACUUCUUUUGUCAGGGAGAAAUUGGGUCCACGCGUGGGCUUAGUGAGAGUACCUGAAGAAAAAGCAUCGGCUAACUCCGUGCCAGCAGCCGCGGUAAUACGGAGGAUGCGAGCGUUAUCCGGAUUUAUUAGGUUUAAAGGGUGCGUAGGAGGAAUAUAAAGUCAGCGGUAAAACUUCGGGGCUACACCCCGUCGUGCCGUUGAAACUGAUGUUCUUGAGUGGGCGAGAAGUAUGCGGAAUGCGUGGUGUAGCGGUGAAAUGCAGAGAUAGCACGCAGAACUCCGAUUGCGAAGGCAGCAUACCGGCGCCCAACUGACGCUGAAGCACGAAAGCGUGGGUAUCGAACAGGAUUAGAUACCCUAGUAGUC